GGCUAGCUCAGUUGGUAGAGCAUGAGAGUUUUAAUCUCAGGGUCGUGGGUUCAAGGACCAUGCC
RNAcentral lists this transfer RNA (64 nucleotides) under Pelodiscus sinensis (Chinese soft-shelled turtle). It matches the Rfam family "tRNA", at positions 5 to 66 of the family's 71-position model. From Rfam's summary of the family: Transfer RNA (tRNA) molecules are approximately 80 nucleotides in length. Their secondary structure includes four short double-helical elements and three loops (D, anti-codon, and T loops). Lineage: Eukaryota; Metazoa; Chordata; Testudines; Trionychidae. The record is from Rfam by way of RNAcentral.